RNAcentral lists this small RNA (28 nucleotides) under Bombyx mori (domestic silkworm). RNAcentral describes it as "ovarian small RNA-5608". The record is from RNAcentral. Lineage: Eukaryota; Metazoa; Arthropoda; Insecta; Lepidoptera; Bombycidae.
UAAAUCUUGUGACAGAAAUCGAGCCAAC